UGGUGGGUAGUUUGACUGGGGCGGUCUCCUCCUAAAGAGUAACGGAGGAGCACGAAGGUUGGCUAAUCCUGGUCGGACAUCAGGAGGUUAGUGCAAUGGCAUAAGCCAGCUUGACUGCGAGCGUGACGGCGCGAGCAGGUGCGAAAGCAGGUCAUAGUGAUCCGGUGGUUCUGAAUGGAAGGGCCAUCGCUCAACGGAUAAAAGGUACUCCGGGGAUAACAGGCUGAUACCGCCCAAGAGUUCAUAUCGACGGCGGUGUUUGGCACCUCGAUGUCGGCUCAUCACAUCCUGG
RNAcentral lists this ribosomal RNA (292 nucleotides) under Escherichia coli. RNAcentral describes it as "partial 23S ribosomal RNA". It matches the Rfam family "Bacterial large subunit ribosomal RNA", at positions 2259 to 2550 of the family's 2925-position model. The record is from RNAcentral. Lineage: Bacteria; Pseudomonadati; Pseudomonadota; Gammaproteobacteria; Enterobacterales; Enterobacteriaceae.